Rhinopithecus roxellana (golden snub-nosed monkey) is the source of this 1471-nucleotide long non-coding RNA. RefSeq lists it as uncharacterized. NCBI's taxonomy places the organism in Eukaryota, Metazoa, Chordata, Mammalia, Primates, Cercopithecidae. The transcript has 3 exons. The record is from RefSeq and is a predicted model, not a curated record.
CCAGCUUCCAAUAAAAACAGGACAGCAGAACACACAUACCAAAAAUAUUUGGAGAAGCUGCUGAAAAAAAUUGUAUGUCUCUCAGUUGAUUAUAUUGGCUGCACUGGAAUAAUGUCUUGCUGGGAAAGCUUAACAGCUGUGUCAGAUGUCCUCUUGGAAGCUGUAGAAUCCCCGUUGGCUAUGCAGACAAAGAGGCUGGCCCCAGGACAAUUGUAGGACAGCAGGGCUGGGAUCUUUCCAUACCUUCUAGAUCAGUAUUUCUCUAUCUCAGUUUUCUCUAUCUCUAUCUCUAUCUAUGUCAAAUGGCACCAGCUCAAUUCCUUAUCUAAAGCAAGAGACAUGAGGAAAGGUGAGGAAGAAGAGGUAACUAGGAGAUUCCCCCAAAUAGCUCUCUUUAGAAGGAGAUGAAUGACAGAGGGGAAAGGGAUAGGGUGGCAGGGUCUUGCUGACAUACCAUUUUAGAGCUUGGGAGACCUGUUGUAGCACCAAUGCAUCGAUGGGAGUGGCUCAGUGACUGCCAGAUACCCACCUGCCACCAUUGGCAUCCUUGUCAUUAAGACAGAAAUUAGCUCAGUUCAACCUUGGUUCUGUGUGGGAAGCUGCUUACAUGGUUUCCCUACUCUGGGUCCCAGGAAAUCAAUCUUUCAUCAAGUACUGGUCAUCCUGUCUAAAGAUACCUAGAAAAGUCAUUCGAUUCAUGACAUUAAGAAGAUGCCAGGAGGGUUUGUGGAGAAUGACAGGCUACUCUCUGUGCUGAGCGUUUGCGUAGGCAGUGGUGAGCUGGGGUAGCUCACACCCCCUCAUGACAGCCAACUGGAAGCAUCUCUUCCCAACUGUGCAUCAGUGACAUCACUGUGGUUGCUUGAAAUUGGCCAUGGUGGAAAUUUAAAAAAUUUAUGUAUAUUUUUCCAGCUUCAUUGAGGUACAAUUAACAAUACGUGUGUGUGUGUAUAUAUAUACACACACACGUAGAUAAUAUAUACAUAUAUAAUUGACAUCGAUAUAUAAUUGACAUCUAUAUAUCUAAUUGACAUAUAUACAAAUAAAAAUUGUAUAUAUUUAAGGUGUAUAAUGUAAUGAUUUGAUAUAUGUAUACCUUGUAAAAUGAUUACCACAGUCAGGGUAGUUAACCCAUCCAUCACCAUAUAUUGUAACCAUUUUUCUUUGUAAUAGAAAUACAAUACUUAAGAUCUACUCUCUUAGUGAAUUUCAAGUAUACAAUACAUUAUUAUUGACUAUAGGAUAGUCACCCUGCUGUCAGGAAGGUGACUCCAGAACUUACUCAUCUUAUAAUUGCAAGUUUGUACACUUUGACCAACAUCUUCCCAGUUUCCCCAAGCCUCAGCCCUUGGUAACCACUGUUCUAUUGUCUGUUUCCAUGAGUUUGGCUUUUUGAAACUUUCCAUAUGUAAGUGAGAUCAUUCCCUAUGUGUCUUUUUGUGUCUGGCUUAUUUCACUUAGCAUAACGACC